GCAGCCUCUUAGCUUUUUGCCCUACUCGUCGUCCGCUGCCUCCAUUUAUCCGUCUUCACCUUCGUGAAGUAGCAUCAAGGUGGGGAGGAUGUUAAGCCAGGGGGCUCUAGUGCUUUAGUAGAUUUCGGACCAUGGAAGUACAAUCCCGAAGACCUUUAAUUUCUGCUUAAGUAUAAAAAGAAUAAAUUCUUAGACAAAGGAUUCAAACAAGUUUAUUUUGGGUUUAAAUUUCUAGUUGUUUCUUUGAUGUUGGUUUCAUAUGCUUGAGUAGGGUAAUACAUUAAGACUUAAGUUACAUUGGUGA
Zingiber officinale is the source of this 304-nucleotide long non-coding RNA. RefSeq lists it as uncharacterized. The record is from RefSeq and is a predicted model, not a curated record. The transcript is spliced from 2 exons. NCBI's taxonomy places the organism in Eukaryota, Viridiplantae, Streptophyta, Magnoliopsida, Zingiberales, Zingiberaceae.